This 588-nucleotide ribosomal RNA is filed under the name uncultured beta proteobacterium. RNAcentral describes it as "bacterial SSU rRNA". It matches the Rfam family "Bacterial small subunit ribosomal RNA", at positions 340 to 919 of the family's 1533-position model. The record is from RNAcentral. Lineage: Bacteria; Pseudomonadati; Pseudomonadota; Betaproteobacteria.
UACGGGAGGCAGCAGUGAGGAAUAUUGCCCAAUGGGCGAAAGCUUGAGGCAGCAAUGCCGCGUGUGGGAAGAAGGCCUUCGGGUUGUAAACCACUUUUGUACGGAACGAAAAGGUCUGCCCUAAUGCGGUGGGCCCAUGACGGUACCGUAAGAAUAAGCACCGGCUAACUACGUGCCAGCAGCCGCGGUAAUACGUAGGGUGCGAGCGUUAAUCGGAAUUACUGGGCGUAAAGCGUGCGCAGGCGGCUCUUUAAGUCAGAUGUGAAAGCCCCGGGCUUAACCUGGGAACUGCGUUUGAAACUGGAGAGCUGGAGUGUGGCAGAGGGAGGUGGAAUUCCACGUGUAGCAGUGAAAUGCGUAGAGAUGUGGAGGAACACCGAUGGCGAAGGCAGCCUCCUGGGCCAACACUGACGCUCAUGCACGAAAGCGUGGGGAGCAAACAGGAUUAGAUACCCUGGUAGUCCACGCCCUAAACGAUGUCAACUGGUUGUUGGGAAGGGAAACUUUCUUAGUAACGAAGCUAACGCGUGAAGUUGACCGCCUGGGGAGUACGGCCGCAAGGUUAAAACUCAAAGGAAUUGACGGGGA